CCUACGGGAGGCAGCAGUAAGGAAUAUUGGUCAAUGGACGCAAGUCUGAACCAGCCAUGCCGCGUGAAGGAUUAAGGCCCUCUGGGUUGUAAACUUCUUUUAUAGGGGACGAAAAAAGGGCAUUCUUGCUCACUUGACGGUACCCUAGGAAUAAGCACCGGCUAACUCCGUGCCAGCAGCCGCGGUAAUACGGAGGGUGCAAGCGUUAUCCGGAUUUACUGGGUUUAAAGGGUGCGUAGGUGGGUUGGUAAGUCAGUGGUGAAAUCUUCGAGCUUAACUCGGAAACUGCCAUUGAUACUAUCAAUCUUGAAUCAUCUAGAGGUAAGCGGAAUAUGUCAUGUAGCGGUGAAAUGCUUAGAUAUGACAUAGAACACCAAUUGCGAAGGCAGCUUACUAUGGAUGUAUUGACACUGAGGCACGAAAGCGUGGGGAUCAAACAGGAUUAGAUACCCUGGUAGUCCACGCCCUAAACGAUGGAUACUCGACAUUUAGUGAUAUACUAUAAGUGUCUGAGCGAAAGCAUUAAGUAUCCCGCCUGGGAAGUACGACCGCAAGGUUGAAACUUAAAUGAAUUGACGG
Molecule: ribosomal RNA, 579 nt
Filed under: uncultured bacterium
Lineage: Bacteria
Description: bacterial SSU rRNA
Rfam family: Bacterial small subunit ribosomal RNA
Source: RNAcentral